RNAcentral lists this unclassified non-coding RNA (9405 nucleotides) under Leishmania donovani. RNAcentral describes it as "gene:LdHU3.04.1450(CDS-product:hypothetical_prote in_conserved)". Lineage: Eukaryota; Euglenozoa; Kinetoplastea; Trypanosomatida; Trypanosomatidae. The record is from RNAcentral.
GGUAGGUGCGGGUGCCCAACCAUCGGUGCACUGCGCAGAACGCUACCCCUCCCAUCUUUUGCUAUCUAUCUUGUGCUCACGUAGGCAGAGCGGGACGUGUUGAGCAUCUGCAGAGGCCGUGGCACCUUCCGUUGCUUUUUCGCGUACACAAAGCAAGAACGGUCACGUGAGAGGCUGGGGAAGAGCGCGGGAGGUGCGUCGCAGGGAGCAAGUCACGGCCUCUUCCCCCCCCCUUUUUUUUUCGUUGUGCCUUCUGCUGUCUCUGAGUCGACCCAUACACAUACACAUACACAUACACACACACACACACACAGGUGCACAGACGGCCGCGUUCACCGACGCACGUACAUAUAUCCCCACACACCUAUACAUACAGGCACAUUAUCACAUAGUGGUCAUCCUCGCGACUGCCCCCCUCCUUUCCGCUCUUGCUGUGUCAGCGACGAGCAGGCUUGCUGGCAGGUGACCAUCGGAGAUUCAUAAAGCAUACAUUCGAAUUGCCAUAGAAACCGUUGACCUCAUCUCCGCCCACCCCCUCUCUUCCUCUGCCACGCACGCCUUGCGGGUAGGGGGGAGCAUUUCUUUUUGUUGUUGCUUUUCGCGUCGCUGCUGCUCUUCUCUGUUUCUUCUCGCCUCCUGGUUGUGCGUUGGGCCUCAAAGGCUUUCCUCCCGCUACGCAGCGUCUGCUUCACUGGUCUCUUGCCGCCGGCAGGAUCCCCCCUCCUUGCUCUUCCUCCUCCUUCUGCAGAUCUGGAGGCUCUGUCUGUUCCUCCCUCCCUUUUGGUCUAGCGGUUGUGUUCAAAGCUGAGUGUCUCCCUUGUUGUGUGUCUCCGCUGAGACAUGAACGCGAUUUGCUUGAGCUCCUACAGCGCCGUGUGGUGGCGCCCAGGAAAGGCCGGCUUCAUGGAUGUGGUCGGCGCCAUCUCUCUCACAGAGGUGCCAAAGCAGAAGUCCUCGACUAGGGGCGUGGUUGUAGCUGCCCCGAUCGCGCUGAAGUGCGUCAAGCAACCUGAGCAGGAUCUCGUUGUGUGGCUGGGAUGGAAGGGGUCCAGAAACUUCAAGAAGAGUGGAAAAGGCUUGCACAAAGUCCUCUACGUCUGCACGACCGCCACGCACUCUGGCGUCUUCUUCACUCACCACAGAGGCAAACGGCUGGGAUUUGCGCUCAUCGCGCACGAUUCGCGCAACCCGCAGAAGUUGAGUAGCAAGCCUACCCUCUACAAAAAGGAGCUGUUUCGCUUGAUGGCGGACGUAUUGCACGAUGGAGAGAGCAAAAAGACAACCAAUAAGGAAGGACAGCUAGUGACGGUGCGGCAGGCGGUACUUCGCCAGACCCUCGAGGGGCACGUCCUGGCAGCUGUUUUUGUGAACCAGCGCGGUGAUGUGUACGCGGUGGUCGCGCACUUGGCAAAAAACACGUGGCGCAAGUGGAGGAUGGAAGCCGCAGUCGGCUCCAUGCCGUGCAUCCACGUACCAGAAGGCGGCCGCGAUGUGCGGUUUGUGCACUGCGACAUAGACGCGCCUGUCGAUCACACCUCCGCCGUUGUCGCCCCUUCCCUUCCCUUGGCUCUCUCGACGUUCGAUCGCGUCUCUGCGAGCAGUGCCAACUUGUCGGCGCAGGUGGCGGCCGCCACGCCACCUCUCCUGUGUGUCACAGUCCGUGAGGUCAUUCUGCCUACGCGCGGCUCCGGGGUUGCGGCGGUGCGGGUCUUUCAGAGUCAAUGUGUCGAGCGCGUCAGUGGCGACGUCCGUGUGAUGCCGCAGCCGUGCCUUACCCACGUGGAUGAGGCGACAGCGGUGUACACUGUCGUUGUGCUGGGGGAGCAGUCCAGCUGUUUCCUGCACAUGCGUCACUCUCUGUUCGGGUCGGAGCUGAUGACGAGCUGCGCCACGGUGGCGGGGUUGCAUCGACCAAUAAGCGCAUGCACGCUCUUGAUUCCGAACCCGCACCGACCUCGAGGUGCCCGGGUCUCGCUGGUGUUGUGCGACGACAUGAGGGUGUACUGCUGUGAGCACUUCGGGCAGGUAGUGUCGGUGUCGCUCAGCAUCGACGGCGUGGACUGCUCCAUGUUGACGCUCCCCGUGCCACUGGUGAAAAAGUCGUCCAAGAAAAUGAAGACAGCGAUAACACUGCCAGCGCGGCUCAUACCUGUGAACAACGAAACAGAGGUUCUCUGCACGAACGGAACUGUCGGGCUCUUCUUGCGCGUGACAUCCGCUGCUUUUAGUGAGGCGGUGCCGGCACCACCCGACCUGGCGGUGGAGGGCACCGGCGAGACAGCUGGCUGCGGCAUGGUGGGAGAAGCUGAAGUUGGAGCUGCCGCACUGCGUCUGUGUUUGCAGUCGUUGCAGCAGCUCUCUGUGCGCGCUAACCGCCACGACCUACCAGAUGUGGUCUUUCGCCAUAUCCUGCCACACCUGCGCUACGUGGGUACCUCGCAACAGGAGGUGAUGCUGAUCCAGCGCGUGUACGAGCAGCUGCUGCAGAUGGCCGAGCCGAUCCUGGAGCCGGAGUGGAGCUAUCUCUGGGCGCUCACUUCCCUUCUUCAAAAAGCCCUCGGGAAGCGUGGUAGAGACAACCAACUGCGGUACACCGACGCGUUCUUUCUGCAGCUGGCCGACACGUACCGGCAGGGCAGCUUUGCCUCUCCCAGCGAGGCGGCGCUCGUGGGUGAUGGUGUCCGAGCUAUGGUGUCGACGGAGGCACAAGACGUGAUCGCCGCAUCGACGGUGAUCUUUCCCGCAGAGGCGAUCUACGUCCUCGAUGGGUUGGCGGCAGGCGUGGCGCCGGUGACCUUAGCCGAGGAGGUUGUGCGGCGCAUGGUGAACACCGACACCCUCUCGAACGGUGCCGGCGUUGUGGCUUCUCAGGCCGGCGUGGCAGACUGCGUGCACUGCAUGGGAUGCGUGCUCUUGGCGAGCUGUCUAGACCUCACUGUGUUUGUAAUCGCUGACGAGGCACGCGGGCUGCGUGUGUCUCUUCAACGACCGCAGGAUGGCGUGUGUGUCGCGGUCCAGCCGCACACUUUCGCGACCCAGAAGGGGUUCGAAACAGCGCUGGGCUUGGCAGGCGAUCUCCUCUCUGUCUCCUCCGCUGACGCGUCAUUUCGGCCAGAUGUAGCACUUCUCACGCUCGGUAUUGGGGGGCGGCAGCAUUGCCUGAACGCCUUCCUGCAGCUGUUUUCUCCCGUGCUGCGCCACGCUGUGGAUGCUUUGACGCCGCUUUCCAGCAAUCGAACUUGGUUCGAGGGGUGCGUCGCCACGCUGACGCAGCCGACCACCGAAUGGGUUGCUAGUCUGCUGCGCAAGGGCGGCAGCGACAGCUUCACCCUCACAGCGACUCUCUGCCACAUGUUGUGUGCAGCGCAGCGCGGCGUGGAUGCCGCCUUUUUUCGGAGUCUCUCGCGCACCCUCUCCGAGGAGUUUUGCACCACCGCGCUGGUAACCAUCCUCUUCCACCAGACAGAGCUGCUUCUGGCCGCUAUCCAGAAUUACGCCUCGGCAGUGGCGGCCUGCGUCUUGACGAAGAAUAGUGAAGCCGAAAGGGGCGCCAACUGGCAGGCGACGGACGUGGGCCGGACUCGUCUGCAAGCGGCGCUGGCGCAGACAUCUGCCUUGUGGGCCCAGAUCGACUCCCUGUCUCCUUACCGUGUGCGUGAUGUGGCCGAGAGCUACCGCAUCUCCGCCAGCAUGUCAUUGGCGUCUGCCGCUAGUGCGGCGUCUGCUUCGACAGAGGGGACGAUGGUAUCACGCACGCUCGUGCUGUGCUUCCGCAUUUUGUGCCUCGUGCAGUACUCGAUGGCGGCCGAGGAAGAUACAAGCGUGGCAGCAAGCGCUGAAUCGGCUAGUUGGACGGCGAGCGAUGCCGCUGUGAGGGACUGCCAGGGUGUGCUAGAGACUCUCUACCUGAUAGCGGGCGGCCCGUUGCCGCUCGAGUGGUUCCAGUGGAAGUUUAUGUCAUUUGUGAAGCGUGCAGCUGCCAUCAAGCCAACUUGGGCGCCGUAUCUAGUGCGCCUGAUGCAGCUGUCAAAUGUGCACCAAAGCAGCAGCGCGGCGCUUAAGCGCGACUUCUACAUCCUACUGGACACCCUGCAGAGCCGUGGCGCGUCUUCCACGACGACAGUGGAAGAGGGGGAUAUGCAGAGGGCUGCCGCAGCGGCGGAGUCUGCAGUUGGCGCUCUCGCAGCCCAGGUAGAGCACCGCGGUGCAUCGGCCGCAACGGAAGGCCUUAGCCUGGCGCCAUCGACGAGUACAGCUUUCUUCAUCUUUUCCCACCAGCGCGACGCGUCGAUCCCCAGCUGGAGUCGUUUGCAUUCGCUGCCAGAGCGACGUCACCUUUUUUCUGCCACCUGGGCCGACGCACUGUGGACGCUGGAGCGUAUACCCAGUGCUCUUGAUCGUGCUUGUGCGGCAGCCCUAGCUCGAGUCCAGCUUGCGGCAUCUGAGGUGGCGACGACGGGACAGGGUGGGGACCAGCCGCCAGCGCUGUCCGAGGAGCUCGCGCUUCCCCUCUAUGCACAUCUCUACCGAUUGCGCCCUCCUGUGCGGAUGCACGCAGUGAUAGACGCGACACCGGCGGAAAGCGACGGCGCGUGUCUCGGUGUGCAGCAGCGCGUGGAUCGUGCCCAGCAGCAUGAGGAGGCCCCGUGCGAAGCCACCGCGAUCCCCGAAAAUGUUGCCGCAAAACCACAUCAGGAGGAUGCACAAGUGGCUGUUGCACCCGCUGUGGGCGCAGCGACAUCUGCACCGCUCCCCUCUUUAAGCGCCGAGCCCGGGGCUGCGGUGUGCACCGACACAAGUGAGGCGAUGCCAACGGAGCAAGCCAGCAGCGUCGCCAACGCGGGUACUCCUGCUGCUCCUGCUGCUGCUUCUGCUUCGGUGGCGGCGACGCCGGCUCCGGCGGCUCCGGCGCGGAGUGGUCUGUACUCACCAGCCAGCGUGGCGUGGUGGGACACGCUAGAGACGACACCAAGUCGUCCUCGCGCGUUGGACGUGAAGAUGGAGUGUGCCACCGCGAACUCCACGUCUCCCGCCACCGCCGACGACAACGGCGAGAGCUCCGACUCGGCCACGACGUACACCACAUCGACCAGCAACUAUGUCGACCCGGUCUCCACGCUCGAAUCAUUUCACCGCCGUUGCUACACAAGAGGCGACAGCCACGCGGCAGCGGAGAGUGUCGGUAGCAGCUGGAGUGACUCGGAGUUGCACCUCUGCAAGCACCGGUAUGCCGCUGCCCGCUCGCAAGCGCAACACAGAGCAAGAAAGAGAUGCCGCUGCUGCAGCCGACCGAUGCGCGUUGACUACCGCGGCCGCUCGGCCGGGAGGCGAGGCGAGGCUGCCGGCGAUACCACGCCAGUACGCGUGCAGUGGAGCGGGACAGCGAAGAAAACAACUGCACCGUAUGCGCGGUCGCCGCUGGUCACCGCGAAAGGGCCGACAGCCGCUGUGGCGCGGCCAACUCUACUGAGCUUUUCGGCUCGCCUGCAGCCCCCAGAGGAACCACCGACGCUCCGCGCGCAGUCCGCGCGAACUUCACUGGCGGCGCCGGCGCUCAAGGUGACCCCGUUCUCCCUGUUGACCUUUCCCUUCGCGUCAAAGGGACAGCAGGCGUCGCGAGUACGGCUGUACACAUUAGACGGCGACCGCGUCCGCUACGUUGAUGGACAGGACACGGUGCCACUGUUGACCACCAGUCGCCCCGGCGUCGUCGCCAGCGCGGGCGCCUUGCUGAAUGUGCCGCCACUGCCUGCGACGAGUGUGUUUCCAGCUCCUCAACCGCUCGUGCGUCUCCCCUCGCAGCCUGCGGCAGCGCAGCUCGAGCAUCGUGACACACGAGUUUCAUGUGCAGCAGAGGCGGCGCAGCCGGUGCGGUUUGUCGAGGUGGGGCAUGCAUAUCCGCAAGUGCCGCGCCCACCCGCCGGCGUUGCUCCACCAGCAGUGGAUGCUGCCACCUUGCAGGCUACCGCCACGAGCGCACCCGUGCCCGUUCGAGCCGCUGAAGCGAUCGCCUUUCCCUCUGUCGGUGUUGCGACACCAGCCGCUACCACAUCUGCACCCCCCGCUCCGGCCACCGUGCCUCCACUGCCGGCGCCAACGGCUCUUUCUAUAAGCGCCCCCAGCGUGCUGAGCCCUGCGCAAAUGAGCGACUUCCGCCGCUACACUGACAACCUGUUGGCUCGGCAGACUGGAAGCACACGUUUACACGCCAUGACGGCUGCUUCUGUUCCGUCUGCAGCACCACCGACGGCGGACCGCCCCUCCACGGUCCCCGCAGCGGCAGUUGCUGUCGACACGGCUGGGAUAGCGCGGCUGAUCCAGCAGCAAGAAGAGUUCCUCCGGAAAGCUGAAGCUAUUAUGGAGAAAUGCAGGGCUGAAAAAGAUGGCUUCUAUCGACGGGUCGAGGAGAGCAUCCGCAGCGCCACAGCGGCUUUCCAGCAGCACCAGGGACUGAGCCCGGUGGAGCAGGCGCAGCUCGUGCAGAACUCCAUCAAACAACGCAAUGAGCUUCUCACCCUCAACCACCACCUCCUGGAGUUGCAGCUGGCCGCCGCUCGUGCCGGUGGCGAGGCGCCGCCAGCGCCCGCCGCGGCUUCCGCAACCUCUCAAGCGGCGCCGUCAGGCGUGACUGCCACCGGUGCGACCCAGACGCAGCCGCAACUGAGGGAGAGCGCUGGCGUGCCAUGGGCGGCGACGGGCGGCUCGGCUGCAUCCACGGCUGCAGCCGCGGCUUUCCAGCAGCACCAGGGACUGAGCCCGGUGGAGCAGGCGCAGCUCGUGCAGAACUCCAUCAAACAACGCAAUGAGCUUCUCACCCUCAACCACCACCUCCUGGAGUUGCAGCUGGCCGCCGCUCGUGCCGGUGGCGAGGCGCCGCCAGCGCCCGCCGCGGCUUCCGCAACCUCUCAAGCGGCGCCGUCAGGCGUGACUGCCACCGGUGCGGCCCAGACGCAGCCGCAACUGAGGGAGAGCGCUGGCGUGCCAUGGGCGGCGACGGGCGGCUCGGCUGCAUCCACGGCUGCAGCCGCCGCUCCUGUGCUACCACCCGCUAUCUCGGCGCGCGGGCGCGAAGGAAUGAACGAGAUUUUGUCCGACCUACAGCGACUCAACGCGGAGCUCACGGCAAGCAGCGCGUCGGCCGAAGCCAUGGACAGGGCCGUCAAAGAGACGCGUGAAGUCAUCGAGCGAUACGAGCGGAACAAGACAGCCGAGGCACUGACGGCGGAGGGGAUCGCCCUGAUAUCAGCGAUGCGCCAUCGCACUGCUGCAAUCGAGCGACACCUGGCGGAACUGCCGCAGAGGGUCGAGGAAAAGGGCGCCACUGACGCAAAGAGCUCCUCGAGUGUGUGGGUGUCGCAGUUUUCCGUGGCCGAUACAGUCGAGGGCUCACCGGCAGAAGCUCCACCUGCCGCGCCGCUCGCAGCAUUCACAUCGAGGACGACCGCGGUUCCGCCAUCCUCGUUGCACUUCACCGCGCAGGCCGGGACGUCAGCGGGGUCGGCAAUGGAGGCGCUGCUCUCACGGAACUUGAACCAGCACUUGCCGUCGAGCAACCCACUCGGAGUGGUGACGCUCUCUAGCUCCAUGCCUCAGACAGCGAAACCGCCGCAGCCGGAGCGGGCGCCAGCGCCCACAGCUUCAGUGCUCACUGCGCCGGUCGUCUCAUACGCAACACCGCGCGCCUCCUCCAUGUUCACCUCAGUUUCCUCUGUCCCCAUCGAUGAGCCGACAGUGCUUCGCUCCGCGACGCCGAAGGGGGCGUUUCCGCCCAGUGCAAGUUUUCAUGCUGAGCGGGCUGCCGGAGGUGAGGUGCCGAGCCUGCACGUCUGUGAAACAGUGGAGUGCACCACCCUUGACCCGCCACGAGCCAUGCCUUCCAGCGUGAAUGCACCGCGAGUGGCCACUCAGCUGCGUGAUCUGGGCAGUUUGUUCGUGGAGACUGGUGGCCGGUACGAGACCCGGCGCAACGCGAGCGCUGCGCCGUCACACAGGAGAGCAGCAGCUUCUCCUCUGCGCAGUGUGCCGGUGCGCUCGCCGGCGCGCAAGCCUCACGCUGCGGAGCGACGCUUUUCAUCGCCGGCACAGGCGCCGGGACGCUGUCAUCACAAGCAUGAGGAGCGCUAUGCCAUGUACCGAGCGACUUCGAGGCCAGCGAAGGUGCGUCCAGCAGCCACAGCCACGCCUUACGUUCCUGCCCCGGGCGCGCCUUUUACGCCGGCCCCACGUGUGUCGACCGGUAAUGUCUUCGUGGAUCGACAGCAGAGCAGACUCAUGGCUAGUAUUGCUAAGCGUAUGCAGCAGCUAGAGCAGGAUCUCUUCAUGUAAGGACGCACAUAUCGGUGUGACUCGAGCUGCAGUGCUCGUGAGAGAGGAAGUGGACAGGGAAGGGAAGCAAAACGGUGACUGACAUCAUGACUGCCUAUGCUCUUGAUGAUAGCGUCGCUCUUUUCGGGUCGUCUGGAAGCCUGAGCUCUCCUCCCCCCUCAUCCUAUCCCUUGAACGCUCGCAAUGACAGUCGCACAUGAAUGUGCUUGGCCAGUCUCCUCCAUCUCUUCCUUGCCACUUCCCCGGCUGUGCGCUGCCCACCACGCGUGUAAAGCGGGGCGGGGGUAGAGGAGCGACUUUGGCGCGGAAGUGCGACGUGCUUGAGCGUGUGUGAAAGAGCCGUUAUCUCCGCUUUUGGCGAACCGAAAAUGGCCUGACAUCCGUGGCGAACGCCGAAGCCGACGACCUCUCCUUUGGUUCUUCUUUUUCAACGUGCCCCGCUCCGCUUUAGAACAUGAGCGAGGCUCGACGCUACGCCACCCGCACGCCGACCCACCGCGUGGUGGCAAGCAACUUUGCACACGUGGUGCAGCCGUGCGCCGAUGGCUGAGUCGGCGCACGGCCUCUGCCUCGAGCUCUCCCCCUCCCUCGUCUCGCAGGUCGUCUCGCAGCCCCCCUCCCUCCCCUCCCCACCAGUAGGCUGCGAGGGCCGAGUGGGACGCGCUCGAGCCACGCCGGCGCUGUGCCUCUUGUAUAAAUUGUGCAAACGCGCCCACCGUGGCAGCCCGCUCCGACGCAGAGCCGUCCAGCGCUUGAGCGCCGACAUGAGGAGCGAUACACCGCUCUGGGCCUGCCUAGGCGGUAGGGGCCCAGCCCUGUCACCACCAGAGGGGUGGCUUGGCAUCGGCAGAGGCCGGGGGACCCUCUUGGCUUCCUCGUCGAGCGGACACUGGGCAAUGUUAUACCACGCUGAGUUGCACUCCUCGUCAUCAGGGUAUAGAAGCAACCGGAAUAAAUAGGAGUGCAAAUUCACGGCACCGCCUCUGCAUGCACGCACGUGACAGUACGUCAGAUAGGGCAGCAGAGCUUCUUUCCCUCCUUUUUAACUAUCGUGCCACCUCUCCGUGGCUAGACUCUUCG